UACGGAGGGUGCGAGCGUUGUCCGGAAUCACUGGGCGUAAAGGGCGCGUAGGCGGCCUGAUAAGUAGGGGGUGAAAUCCUGCGGCUUAACCGCAGGGCUGCCUUCUAAACUGUCAGGCUGGAGCACAGUAGAGGCAGAUGGAAUUCCCGGUGUAGCGGUGGAAUGCGUAGAGAUGGAGACGACGAAGCAGCCGUAGGCGGAACGACUUGCUGGUUC
This 216-nucleotide ribosomal RNA is filed under the name uncultured bacterium. RNAcentral's name for it is "partial 16S ribosomal RNA". It matches the Rfam family "Bacterial small subunit ribosomal RNA", at positions 524 to 740 of the family's 1533-position model. The record is from RNAcentral.